This 28-nucleotide unclassified non-coding RNA is filed under the name Mus musculus (house mouse). RNAcentral describes it as "oocyte_clustered_small_RNA11633". The record is from RNAcentral. Lineage: Eukaryota; Metazoa; Chordata; Mammalia; Rodentia; Muridae.
UGUUCUCAAAGACUAGCUACUUUCUGAG